AACGUCAAGACAAAAGGUUAUUAACCUUCUGCCAUUUCCUCCCUACUGAAAGUGCUUUACAACCCGCAGGCCUUCUUCACACACGCGGCAUUGCUGCAUCAGGCUUGCGCCCAUUGUGCAAUAUUCCCCA
Molecule: ribosomal RNA, 130 nt
Filed under: uncultured bacterium
Lineage: Bacteria
Description: partial 16S ribosomal RNA
Source: RNAcentral